RNAcentral lists this transfer RNA (85 nucleotides) under Candidatus Peregrinibacteria bacterium. RNAcentral's name for it is "tRNA-Leu". It matches the Rfam family "tRNA". Rfam says of the family: Transfer RNA (tRNA) molecules are approximately 80 nucleotides in length. Their secondary structure includes four short double-helical elements and three loops (D, anti-codon, and T loops). Lineage: Bacteria; Candidatus Peregrinibacteriota. The record is from RNAcentral.
GCCUGGAUGGUGGAAUUGGUAGACACGCAGGACUUAAAAUCCUGUUCCCUCGGGAGUGAGGGUUCGAUUCCCUCUCCAGGCACCA